RNAcentral lists this ribosomal RNA (301 nucleotides) under uncultured bacterium. RNAcentral's name for it is "partial 16S ribosomal RNA". It matches the Rfam family "Bacterial small subunit ribosomal RNA", at positions 509 to 808 of the family's 1533-position model. The record is from RNAcentral.
CAGUCGCCGGCGGUAAUACGAGGGGGGCAAGCGUUGUUCGGAAUUAUUGGGCGUAAAGGGUGCGUAGGCGGCUUGACAAGUCUUGUGUGAAAUCUAUGGGCUCAACCCAUAGUCUGCACGGGAAACCGUCGGGCUUGAGAAUGGGAGAGGUGAGUGGAAUUUCCGGUGUAGCGGUGAAAUGCGUAGAUAUCGGAAGGAACACCUGUGGCGAAAGCGGCUCACUGGACCAUUUCUGACGCUGAUGCACGAAAGCUAGGGGAGCAAACAGGAUUAGAUACCCGCGUAGUCCCUGUCUCUUAUA